AAUUAUAUUAACAAAAUUAUUCGCCAGAGUACUACCGGCAACAGCCUAAAACUCAAAGGACUUGGCGGUGCUUUAUAUCCCUCUAGAGGAGCCUGUUCUAUAAUCGAUAAACCCCGAUAGACCUCACCAAUUCUUGCUAAUGCAGUCUAUAUACCGCCAUCUUCAGCGAACCCUAAAAAGGUACAAAAGUAAGCGCAAUCACAACGCAUAAAAACGUUAGGUCAAGGUGUAACCUAUGAAAUGGGAAGAAAUGGGCUACAUUUUCUACACCAAGAACACCCAACACGAAAGUUAUUAUGAAAAUUAAUAACCAAAGGAGGAUUUAGCAGUAAACUAAGAAUAGAGUGCUUAGUUGAACUAGGCCAUGAAGCACGCACACACCGCCCGC
RNAcentral lists this ribosomal RNA (388 nucleotides) under Bubalus bubalis (water buffalo). RNAcentral's name for it is "partial small subunit ribosomal RNA". It matches the Rfam family "Bacterial small subunit ribosomal RNA", at positions 848 to 1397 of the family's 1533-position model. The record is from RNAcentral. Lineage: Eukaryota; Metazoa; Chordata; Mammalia; Artiodactyla; Bovidae.